GAUGAACGCUGGCGGCGUGCUUAACACAUGCAAGUCGAACGGAAAGGCUCCUGCUUGCCGGGGUACUCGAGUGGCAAACGGGUGAGUAACACGUGGGUGAUCUGCCCUGCACUGCGGGAUAAGCCUGGGAAACUGGGUAUACUACCGGAUAGGACGAUGGUUUGGAUGCCAUUGUGGAAAGUUUAUCGGUGUGGGGUGAGCUCGUGGGCUAUCAGCUUGUUGGGGGGGUAAUGGCCUACCAAGGCGUCGACCGGUCGCCGGCCUGAGAGGGUGUGCGGCAACACUGAGACUUAGAGACGGCACCGGCGCCUACGGUAGGCAGCAGGGGGGAAUAUUGAUCAAUGGGCGCCAGCCGGAUGCAGCAGCGCCGCGGGGUGGAUGACGGUCUUGUGGUUGAAGAAACCCUUCGCGAGGAACGAACCGGUGUGUGACGGUACCGGGAGAAUAAGCACCGGCUAACUACGUG
This 466-nucleotide ribosomal RNA is filed under the name uncultured bacterium. RNAcentral's name for it is "partial 16S ribosomal RNA". It matches the Rfam family "Bacterial small subunit ribosomal RNA", at positions 28 to 507 of the family's 1533-position model. The record is from RNAcentral.